Molecule: long non-coding RNA, 31063 nt
Organism: Callithrix jacchus (white-tufted-ear marmoset)
Lineage: Eukaryota; Metazoa; Chordata; Mammalia; Primates; Cebidae
Source: RefSeq, a predicted model, not a curated record
UAGAGUACAGUGGUGCAAUCUCUGCCCACUGCAAGCUCUGUCUCUUGGUUUCAAGUGUGAUUUUCCUGCCUCAGCCUCCUGAGUAGCUGGGACUACAGGUGUGUGCCACCAUGCCUGGCUAAUUUUUGCAGAGAUGGGGUUUCACUGUGUUGGCCAGGCUGGUCUUGGCAACUGCUGGCCUCAAGUGAUCCACCCGCCUUGGCCUCCCAAAGUACUGGGAUUACAGGCAUGAGUCACUGUGCCUGCCUGUAGGUAUAUAUAUUUAUAGGGUAUAUUAGAUGUUUUAAUACAGGCAUACAAUGUAGAAUAUGCACAUCAUGGAGAAUGGGGUAUCCAUCCCCUCAAGCAUUUAUCCCCUAGGGAUAUUAACAUGAUUAUUUCUUAGUUUGAUCUCAUAAAUAUUUUCAGAAUAUUAAAUUUAAUAUUACAAACAAUGUAAUGACUUGCGUUACUUCAUUUGGGCUGUUAUACCAAAAUACCAUAAACUAGGUAAAUUAUAAGCAACAGAAAUUGAUUUAUCACAGUUUUGGAAGCUGGGAAGUCAAGGCACUGGCAGACUUGAUGUCUGGUGAGGGCCCACUUCCUGGUUCAUAGACUGUGCCUCUCAUUGUGUCCUUAUAUGGUGGAAAGGGCAAAGAUACUCCCUUAGCCUCUUUUGUAAGGACACAAAUCCCAUUCACUCGGGUGAAGCCAUGAUCAUUUCCUAAGGUCCCACCUUUUAAUACCAUCACAUUGAGGUUUAGAUUUCAGAACAUGAGUUUUGGGAGCCACAAAGAUUCAGACCCUAGAAUCACUGAAAAUAGUUUGCAAGAAGUUCUUUUUGUCCUUCAGGUAUAUUCCUCUAAGAAUAUGUGGUCUGAUUUUUAUGCUUUAAAAUCACUUGAAAUAAUUGUUUUAUCUAUGUUAAUGUUGCCAAUUCAGUACAAAAUCUAGGUUAAUUUAUUUUAUCUUGCUUUAAGCUUUUAGAAGUUUUUUGCUUAAAAUUUAUUCUGUAAUCUUAUAAAACACAUACAGCAUUCAAAAAUCAAGUAAGUCCAGCAUCUAUCUCACCCCUUUUACCCUGUUUAUACCCUACCUCUCCACAUUGCUUUGUUUUAAAGGGGUGUGUGUGGGGUGUGUGUGUGUGUGUGUGUGUGUGUGUGUGUGGUGUGUGUACUUAUAUUCUCUUUCUUCCUUGGAUAAGUGGCAUCAUCCCAUGGAUAUUUUUCUCCAUUUUGCUUUUCUCAUUUAACAGUACUUUUAGAGACAUCUUCAUAGUGAUAAAGAUACUCUUUAUUCCAUUUUACAGCUACAUGGUAUGACAUGAUACUACAUUGUAUGAAUGUACUUAUAUUUAUUUAGCUAGUUUCCUAUUUAUGAAUAUGGGGUCAUUUUUAUUUUUUGUUAUUACAGAUUGUGCUGCAAUAGCUAUACAAAUAUGAUUUUUAAUAUUUUCUGAUUAACAAUAAUGAAGCUAGUGUGUUGUUUGGAUGUAUUUCUAGAAGUUGGUUUGCUGGGUUAAAGGGUAAAUAUAUAUGAAAUCCUGAUGGAUAUUGCUUUUUUUGUUGUUAUUAUACUUUAAGUUGUUGGGUACAUGUGCAGAACAUGCAGGUUUGUUAUAUAGUUAUACAUGUGCCAUGGUGGUUUGCUGCAUCCAUCAUUCUGUGAUCUACAUUAGGUAUUUCUCCUAAUGCUAUCCCUGCCCUAUCCACCCCCGCCCUCGCUAUCCCUCAUCUACUUCUCCAUCCCCCACAACAGGCCCCGGUGUGUGACGUUACCCUCCCUGUGUCCAUAUGUUCUCAUUGUUCAACACCCACUUAUGAGUGAGAACAUGCAGUGUUUGAUUUUCUGUUCCUGUGUUAGUUUGCUGAGAAUGAUGGUUUCCAGCUUUAUCCAUGUCCCUGCAAAAGACAUGAACUCAUCCUUUUUUAUGGCUGCAUAGUAUCCCAUAGUGUAUAGGUGCCACAUUUUCUUUAUCCAGUCUAUCAUUGAUGGGCAUUUGGUUGGUUUUUUUCUUUGCUGUUGUGAACGGUGCCACAAUAAACAUACAUGUGCAUGUGUCUUUAUAACAGAAUGAUUUGUAAUCCUUUGGUUAUAUAUCCAGUAAUGGGAUUGCUGGGUCAAAUAGUAUUUCUAUUUCUAGAUCCUUGAGGAAUCGCCUCACUGUCUACAAUGGUUGAACUAAUUUUCACUCCCACCAAUAGUGUAAAAGUUUUCCUAUUUCUCCACAUCCUCCCCAGCAUUUGUUGUCUCCAGAUUUUUUAAUGAUCACCAUUCUAACUGGCAUGAGAUGGUAUCUCAAUGUGGUUUUGAUUUGCAUUUCUUGAAUGACCAAGGAUGAUGAGCUUUUUUUCAUAUGUUUGUUGGCUGUAUAAAUGUCUUCUUUUGAGAAGUGUCUGUUCAUAUCCUUUGCCCACUUUUCCAUGGGGUUGAUUUUUUCUUGUAAAUUUGUUUAGGUUCUUUAUAGAUCCUGGAUAUUAGCCCUUUGUCAGAUGGGUAGCUUGCAGAAAUAUUUUCCCAUUCUGUUGGUUGUUGGUUCACUCUAAUGAUUGUUUCUUUUGCUGUAUAGAAGAGCUGGAGUUUAAUUAGAUCCCAUUUGUUUAUUUUGGCUUUUGCUGCCAUUGCUUUUGGUGUCUUAGUCAUGAAGUCCUUCCUACGCCUAUCUCCUGAAUGGUAUUGCCUAGGUUUUCUUCUAGGGUUUUCAUGAUGUUAGGUCUUAUGUUUAAAUCUUUAAUCCAUCUUGAGUUAAUUUUCGUAUAAGGUGUAAGGAAGGAAUCCAGUUUCAGCUUUCUGCAUGUGGCUAGCCAGUUUUCCCAACACCAUUUAUGAAAUAGGGAAUCCUUUCCCCAUUGCUUGUUUUUGUCAGGUUCGUCAAAGAUCAGAUGGUUGUAGAUGUGUGGUGUUGCCUCCGAGGCCUCUGUUCUGUUUCAUUGGUCUGUAUCUCUGUUUUGGUACCAGUGCCAUGCUGUUUUGAAGUCACAUAGUGUAAUGCCUCCAGCUUUGUUUUUUUGUUUUUUUUUUUUGAGACGAGUUUUGCUCUUGUUACCCAGGCUGGAGUGCAAUGGCGCAAUCUUGGCUCACCGCAACCUCCGCCUCCUGGGUUCAGGCAAUUCUCCUGCCUCAGCCUCCCGAGUAGCUGGGACUACAGGCACGCGCCACUAUGCCCAGCUAAUUUUUUGUAUUUUUAGUAGAGCCGGGGUUUCGCCAUGUUGACCAAGAGGGUCUUGAUCUCUUGACCUCAUGAUCCACCCGCCUCGGCCUCCCAAAGUGCUGGCAUUACAGGCGUGAGCCACUGCACCCGGCCCAAUCCUGGUUCUAUCACAUACUCGCUAAAGGACCUUGGCAAAGUAAUUGACUCUCUGUGAAUCUCUCUUAAGGCUAUUCAGGCUAACUAGUAUUUAGUUACCUAUGUUUUAAAAAUUAACUAUGUAGGCCAGCCACAGUGGCUCAUGCCUGCAAUCCCAGCACUUUGGGAUGCCGAAGCAGGACGAACUGAGGUUGAGAGUUCGAGACCAGCCUGACCAACAUGGUCUUGAACUAUUUUUAAUAGACCAUCUCUAUUAAAAAUAUAAAAUUAGUCAGGCGCAGUAGCUCACGCCUGUAAUCCCAGCACUUUGGGAGGCAGAGGUGGGUGGAUCGCAAGGUCAGACAUUCAAGACCAGCCUGGCCAACAUGGUGAAACCCCACCUCUACUGAAAAUACCAAAAAAAAAUUAGCCAGGUGUGGUGACAAGCACCUAUAAUCCCAGCUACUUGGGAGGCUGAGGCAGGGGAAUCGCAUGAACCUGGCAAGCGGAGGUUGCAAUGAGCCCUGAUCGUGCCACUGCACUCCAGCCUGGGCAACAGAGCAAGACUCCAUCUCAAAAACAAACAAACAAACAAAAAAUAAAAUUAGCCAGGCAUGGUGGUGCAUGCCUGUAAUCCCAGCUACUCGGGAGGCUGAGGCAGGAGAAUUGCUUGAACCUGGGAGGUGGAGGUUGCAGUGAGCUAAGCUCAUGCCACUGCACUCUAGCCUGGGCAACAAGACCGAGACUCCAUCUCAAAAAAAAAAAAAAAAAAGCUAACCAUGUAGGCAUACAGUCUACACAUUUGAAUAUUCAUUAAAGCAUGAUGGGGAUGGGACACAAAUUGACCAAAUUCUUCUUUCUCUUCAAUAAAUCUUUAUUAAAAUAUAUCAUAGUUCAGGUCUUAUACUAGUUAAUGAAGAGACAAAGAUGAAAAAGAUAUCUCAAGAAAUAUUGAAAAAGUUUCCAUAAAUAUUAUUAUCAAACCAGGAAAAUAAUAUGUAGUGUGUCAGCUUGCUGUCAUUUGAAUUAAAUCUUGCAUGGACCUCAUAAUUCUCAAAUUUUUCUUGAGUUCCUUCAUUUGGUGUUUGGUUUGUAAAGCACUUGAAUACCAUUUCAAAACCACCAUUCUAAACGUGGCUUUGCAGUUCUAAUAGGAAACUAUACAAAAGUCCUUAAGUGUGACGAUUCCAACUUGCUAUUAUUUUAUGCAACACUCUUAAAGAGCUUAAGGUGAAUCAGUGUCCCUCCUGGUGAAGAGGUCUGGCUUUAUAUCAGACAAGCUUGAGUUCUCAUUCUCACCCACUUACUGGUUGUAUGGUCUUGGUAAAGCUCCUUAAACUGUUUAUGCCUCAGUUCUCUCAUCUGUAAAUUAAGGUAAUGAAAGCACUUAAAUUAAAGAGUUUUUAUGAGUUCACGUGAUACUUGAGAUGUAAAGCAUUUAACUCAUAAAAGCUCAAUAAAUUAUUGACAAUUGUAAAUAGAUACAAAAUCUUCAAAUAUAAUCAGCCCUUGGGACUCAUGGAGCAUUGGUUCUAGGACCUCCAUUGGAUAUCAAAAUCCAAAGUUGUUUGGACAGUGGUUACAUUAAAAGCUCAUAUUUCACCGCUACAUAAUACAUUCAUGAAACAAAAUUGUACUUGCUGUAUCUCUUAAAUCUGUACAAAAAAAAUCAGAGGAUGCUCAAGUCUCUGAUACAAAAUGGUACAGUGUUUUCAUAUAACCUAUGUCCAUCCUUCUGUAUGCUUUAAUUUAUCUCUAGGUUACUUAUACUACCUAAUACACUGUAAAUGCUAUGUAAAUAGUUGUUAUACUGUGUUGUUCAGGGAAUAGUGACAAGAAAACUCUGUACAUAUUCAGUGCAGACAUCAUUUUUAAAAAUAUUUUUAUUGCAGUUGAUUGAAUCCAUGAAUGCAGAAUCCACAGAUAUAGCGGGCUGAUGGUACUUAUGUUUUUUCAAAUUCAGAAACAUUCUAUUUACCUUUAAUCUAUUUUAUUUGUUUUGCUUUGUUCUCAAUGCUGAAGUUUUCACCACUUUGCACUCUAGUCUCACACCUUCUCAGGGAGAACUGAGUUGUUUUUGUUCCUUUAUUAUUGAAAGACAAGCUAAAUAGUGUGGUCUGGAGUAGCCUCACACAGCAAAUUUUUCCUGGCCUGGCUCUGUCACAUUGAGAUUGCAGGAUCUUAUUCGUACAAAGAUUCAAUCUUUCUCUCUUUCUUUCCUUUUUUUUUUUUGAGAUGGAGUCUCGCUCUGUCAUCCAGGCUGGAGUGCAGUGGCAUGAACUUGGCUUACUGCAGCCUCCACCUCCCGGGUUAAAGCAAUUCUCCUGCCUCAGACUCCUGAGUAGCUGAGACUACAGGUGCACACCACCACCCCCGGUUAAUUUUUUUGUAUUUUUAGUAGAGAUGGGGUUUUGCCAUAUUGGCCAGACUGGUCUCGAACUCCUGACCUCAUGAUCUGCCCACCUUGGCCUCCCAAAGUGCUGGGGUUACAGGCGUGAGCCACCACGCCCGUUUUGUUUUUCUUUGUAUGUUUUUGUUUUUUGAGAUGGAGUUUCGCUCUUGUUUACCAAGGCUGGAGUGCAAUGGCGCGAUCUCGGCUCACGGCAACCUCCGCCUCCUGGAUUCAGGCAAUUCUCCUGCCUCAGCCUCCUGAGCAGCUGGGAUUACAGGCACACGCCACCGUGCCCAGCUAAUUUAUUGUAUUUUUAGUAGAGACGGGGUUUCACCAUGUUGACCAGGAUGGUCUCGAUCUCUGGACCUCGUGAUCCACCAGCCUUGGCCUCCCAAAGUGCUGGGAUUACAGGUGUGAGCCACCGCUCCCGGCUUUUAUUUUAUUAUUAUUAUUAUUAUUAUUAUUAUUUUCUUUCAGAGACGGAGGUUCGCUCUUGUUUUUACCCAGGCUGGAGUGCAAUGGCGCGAUCUCGGCUCACCGCGACGUCUGCCUCCUGGGUUCAGGCAAUUCUCCUGCCUCAGCCUCCUGAGUAGCUGUGAUUACAGGCAUGCGCCACCACACCUGGCUAAUUUUGUAUUUUUAGUAGAGACAGGGUUUCUCCAUGUUGGUCUGGCUGGUCUCAAAUUCCCAACCUCAGGUAAUCUGCCAACCUCGGCUUCCCAAAGUGCUGGGAUUACAGGCAUGAGCUUGACCGGCCUAUAUCCUUUGAAGUCAAUGUUUUUUCAGUUAUAUUAUGCUGUCUCUGAGGGAUAAAUGUCUAAAGGUCCUCAGUGAAUGUUCAUUGAAUAAAUGUUGAAAGAAAGAGCAAGAGGGAAUGAGGUCAUGAUAAAAAAAAAAAGACCAAAAAAAAAAACAAAAAAAAAACUGAGCGUUAUUCCCUUAGGGGGCCAGAAAGGAAUUGUUUGUUAUGAGUAGAUGGAGAAGAAGGCUAUGUAAAGUUAAGAACAAUGCCUUCAGGCUGGGCACAGUGGCUCAUGCCUGUAAUCCCAGAAGGAGUUCAAGACCAGCCUACUAAAUAUGGUGAAACCUUGUCUCUACUAAUAAUACAAAUAAUUAGCUGGGCUUGGUGGCGCACUGUAAUCCCAGCUACUCGGGAGGCGGAAACAGGAGAAUCACUUGAACCUGGGAGGCAGAGGUUGCCAAGAUCGUGCCAUUGCACUCCAGCCUUGGUGACAGAGCAAGACCUCGUCUCAAAAAAAAAAAAAAAAAAAAACCCUUCAACACACAGACAACACACACACACACACACACACACACACUUCUUCACCCACACACCAUUAAAAUGGCCAUUGCAAAAUUGUCUCUUUCUCCGUGAAAGGGAUCUGACCUAACCAACUUUAAUCUUGCUUCUAAUCUCCAGGCUGUCCUUGUUCACUCCUGGGUGUAGGCUGAACUAACUUUGGGAGGAACUCAGCUUAUAGCUUAAAGCAAAGACAGUAACAGCCCUUUCCCAAAACAAACCCCCUCUUGCCUAAUCUUGUGGCUAAUUUUGAUAGUCUUACAAAGGACUAGACUGCCUUUGUAGGACUAUCAAAAUUAGCCACAAAAUUAGAAAUCAUGGUUUAGAAGUCAUGAAGCUGGAGGCUACAACACUCUGACUCUCUCCAAUUCCUCCUAGGGAUAAAAUCACCUAAAUUUUAGGUUUAUUAUAAAACCUAAAACCAGUGCUUAAGAUAUUUUGCAGACCCUGCACUUGAUGGAUCAGCUGGCACCACCUAGAUCGAGCAACUAGCUCAUCUGAGCUUAUGGCCCUCCCACCCAGAAACUGACUCAGUGCAAGAAUACAGCUUCAGGCUGGGCAUGGUGGCUCACACCUGUAAUCCAAGCACUUUGGAGGCCAAGGGAGGCAGAUCACCUGAGGUCGGGAGUUCAAAACUAGUCUGACCAACAUGGUGAAACCCCAUCUUUUAAAAAAUAAAUAAAUAAAAUAAAAUAAUACAGCUUCAACUCCCUGUGAUUUCAUCUCUGACCUGACCAAUCACUACUCUCAACUCACUGGCUUCCCCACCCACCAAAUUGUCUUUAAAAACCCUGAUAUCUGAACACUCAGGGAGACUGAUUUGAGUAAUAAUAAAACUCCAGUCUCCUGCACAGCCAGCUCUGCGGGAAUUAUUCCUUCUCUAUUGCAAUUUCCCUGUCUUGAUAAAUUGGCUCUAUUUAGGCAGCCAACAAGGUGAACCCACUGGGUGGUUACACUACCUAUGUGUCCAUCAUCAGACUUAAGUGGUUCUCAAAAAAGCCUGUAGGUUACAUAUUUAUUUAUUUCUUGCUCUUUCUCCAGAAUUAAGAAUCACAAGAGUUGGCCAGGCGCGGUGGCUCACACCUAUAAUCCCAGCACUUUGGGAGGCUGAGGCGGGUGGAUCAUGGGGUCAAGAGAUGGAGACCAUCCUGGUCAACACGGUGAAACCCCGUCUCUACUAAAAAUACAAAAAUUAGCUGGGUAUGGUGGUGCACGCCUGUAGUCCCAGCUACUCAGGAGGCUGAGGCAGGAGAAUUGCUUGAACCCAGGAGGCGGAGGUUGCGGUGAGCCGAGAUUGUGCCAUUGCACUCCAGAAUGGGUAACAACAGCGAAACUCCAUCUCAAAAAAAAAAAUCACAAGAGUUAUGAAACUCAGCUGACCACCCUAGAUUUUUAGAAGGAGACCCUACUUAUUAUCUAACCCAGUGGUUCUCUAUAUGCUUCUGUGUGCAUAAAACGGCCUGGGCCAUAGAUCUUCAGCCAAUAAAAGAGCCUAUGGAGUCAGGCACUGUGGCUCACACCUGUAAUUCUAGCACUUUGGGAGGCUGAGGCUGGCGAAUCACUUGAGAUCAGGAGUUUGAAACCAGUCUGGCCAACAUGAUGAAACCUCAUCUCUACUAAAAAUACCAAAAUUAACCAGGCAUGGUGGCAGGCGCCUAUAAUCCCAGCUAUUUGGGAGGCUGAGGCAGGAGAAUUGCUUGAACCUGGGAGGCAAAGGUUACAGUGAGCCAAGAUUGUGCCACUGCACUCCAGCCUGGGCAGGAGAGCAAGACUCCAUCUCACAAAAAAAAGAAAAAGCCUAUGGGAUAGCUUCUUCUGCCAUGUUGUUGGAGGCAAGUGCUGUGACUAGCCACAUUUGCGGGGGGGAUAAAAGCCCUGAACCCCUUUCUUUUGGCUCCAUAUCUUUUUUUUUUUUUUUUUUGAGAGGCAAAGUUUCGCUGUGUUGUCCAAGCAACCUCAAAUUCUUGGGCUCAAGCCAUCCUCCUGCCUCUGCCUCCCAAGGAGCUAGGACUAUAGGUGCAAGCUUGAGAAGCCAUGGCCAGCUCAAGGUUGGCUUCCUUCAUUUUUGUGAAGAUAUCUCAUCCUUUCAUUUCUGAAUCCUAUUGAUUGAGAACCAGUAGGAAAUAGGAGUAGGAGAAAAUGAGUGAUUUUUUAAAUCUCUAUUAGUAUACUAAUUUUGGAAAGAGAACUGAGCUAAAGUUUUAGGAAUAAUUUAACCAUUAUAUUCACUGUCUACCUCAACAUCCCAGCUCUGGAAUUGUAUUUGGCAAAGAUUCUUUUCUUAGGUUGGCUUCUGAUUGGGCUAAUAUUAGUUCUUAAUGACUCAAAAACAACUGAGGAGAACCAUGACUUCACCAAUUAAUGCUAGUGUAUCUGAUUCUCUGAGUUGGCAGAGUGAAAUCCUCAAGGUCAGGAUCAAUUUUUGUCAUCCCUGGAUAAGUCAUUUCUUUUAUCUGGGCCAAUUACUCAAAGUUCCACAUUCAGUUUAAUAUCUCAUUAAAGAAAAAUCCAAAAGACCAUGAUUUCCAAAGUUUAGCAGACAUGUGAUUACCACACUACUGUAAGUAUGAAAUCCCAUCAAGAAUUCAGAAUUUAUCUUCUAAAAUGUGAGGCUAUAUUGAUGUCAAGUAAGCCUGAUGUAAUUUUAACAGAUCUCCAAAACAAACACAAAAUCAUCUGAUUGAGUCAUGCAAAGAGGCAGAGAAAAAUAAAUAAAGAAGAAACAAAAAACAAAUCAAUAGCCAGGUGCAGUGGCUCACACCUGUAAUCCCAACACUUUGGGAGGCUGAGACGGUCCGAUCACUUGAGGUGAGGAAUUUGAGACCAGCUUGACCAACGUGGCAAAACCCUGUCUCUACUAAAUAUACAAAAAUUAGGCCAGGCACAGUGGCUCACGCCUGUAAUCCCAGCACUUUGGGAGGCUGAGGCAGGUGGAUCAUGAGGUCAGGAGAUUGAGAAAAUUCUGGCUAACACGGUGAAAUCCCAUAUCUACUACAAAUAAAAAUUAAAAAAUUAGCCAGGUGUGGUGGUGGGCACCUUUAGUCCCAGCUACUAAGGAGGCUGAGGCAGGAGAAUCGCUUGAACCCAGGAGGCAGAGGUUGCAGUGAGCCGAGAUUGCCCCACUGCACUCUAGCCUAGGUGACAGAGCAAGAUUUCAUCUCAAAAAUAAAAAACAAAAACAAUCUGUCUUUGAAGUUAGAGCACUGCAAUGAAAAAAUAAAAAAGGUUUGUGAUACAAAGUUAUGCUGUAAGAAUGGCAUCUACCAGCUGGGCAUGGUGGCUCACACCUGUAAUCCCAGCAUUUUGGGAGGCUGAAGCCAGUGGAUCACCCGAGGUUGGGAAUUCAAGAUCAGCCUGACCAAUACAGAGAAACCCUGUCUUAAAAAAAUAAUAAGCCAGACGCGGUGGCUCAAGCCUGUAAUCCCAGCACUUUGGGAGGCUGAGGUGGGUGGAUCACGAGGUCAAGAGAUUGAGACCAUCCUAGUCAACAUGUUGAAACCCCGUCUCUACUAAAAAUACAAAAAAUUAGCUGGGCAUGGUGGCGCGUGCCUGUAAUCCCAGCUACUCAGGAGGCUGAGGCAGGAGAAUUGUCUGAACCCAGGAGGCGGAGGUUGUGGUGAGCCGAGAUCACGCCAUUGCACGCCUGGGUAACAAGAGUAAAACUCCCUUUAAAAAAAAAAUAUGGCAUCUACCAUAGAAACAUCACUUUUGUUUUUUGGUUUUUUUUUUUGACAUGGAGUUUCACUCUACCACCCAGGCUGGAGUUCAGUGGCACAAUCUUAGCUCACUGCAGCCUCUGCCUCCUGGGUAAAAGGAAUUCUCCUGCCUCAGCCUCCCAUGUAGCUGAAACUACAGGUGUCUGCCACCACACCUGGCUAAUUUUUUGUGUUUCUAUUUUUAUUCAUUUAUUUACGUUUUUAUUUUUUUGAGACAGGGUUUCACUCUGUCACCCAGGCUGGAGUGCAGUGGCAUGAUCCGGGCUCACCACAACCUCUGCUUUCUGGGUUCAAGUUAUUCUCCUGCCUCAGCCUCCCAAGUAGCUGGAAUACAAAAAUUAGCCAGGUAUCGUGGCUCAUGCUUGUAGCCCCAGAUACUCAGGAGGGUGAAGCAGGAGAAUUCCUUGAACCUAGGAGGCGGAGGUUGCAGUGAGCAGAGAUCACACCACUGCACUCCAGCAGUGCGCCACCACGCCCAGCUAAUUUCGUGUAUUUUUAGUAGAGAUGUUUCUCCAUGUUAGUCAGGCUGGUCUCAAACUCCCGAACUCAGGUGAUCCACCCGCCUCAGCCUCCCAAAGUGCUGAUAUUAUAGGCGUGAGCCACUGUUCCCGGCUUCCCAUGGGGUUUGUUGUUGUUGUUGUUGUUGUUUUGAGAUGGAGUGUCACCCUGUCGCCCAGGCUGGAGUGCAAUGGCAAGAUCUUGGCUCACUGCAACCUUUGCCUCCCAGGUUCAAGCGAUUCUCCUGCCUCAGCCUCCCAAAUAGCUGGGAUUACAAGCAUGUGCCACCAUGCCUGACUAUUCUGUGUUUUUAAUAGAGACGGGGUUUCACCAUAUUGACCAGGCUGGUCUCAAACUCCUGACCUCAGGUGAUGUGCCUGCCACUCCUCCCAAAGUGCUGGGAUUACAGGCAUGAGCCACUGUGCCUGGAUGCAACAUCACUUUUCUAAGCUUCCAAAAAUGUUCACUCUCAUCUACUGUCAAAGGAGAAGAAACAGAGUCUAUUAUUCUGAAACUGAAAUAAAGAUCAGCCAUGUAUCUGCUCUCAUUGACAUUCAUCAAUCAGAUGCUGAUUAGAUACAGCAGAAAUGGAAAACGAACUCAAAAACACUCUCCCACCCAUCCACUCCCUACAUUAAGGCAUCUCAGGCUGGCUUAGGUCUACAGAUGUAACCCUGUAUUCUGGAAAUUCAGAACAGCUAAAUCCAAAUACAGCUAACUCUAAAUGUCUCUAGUUAACCAAGAGCUGAGUUAAAUUAAUACCAUACAUAUAAUGCAUCUUGAUUUUUUUUUUUUUGAGACAGUCUCACUCUGUCACCCAGGCUGGAGUACAGUGGCGUGAUGUCGGGUCACUGCAAUCUCCGCCUCUUAGGUUCAAGAGAUUCUCCUGCCUCAGCUUUUUUUUCUUUUUUGAGACAGGGUUUCACUCUGUCACCCAGGCUGGAGUGCUUUGCGCGAUCUGGGCUCACUGCAACAUCCAUCUCCUGGGUUCAAGCAAUUCUCCUGCCUCUGGAGUAGCUGGGACUACAGGCACUUGCCACCAUGUCCAGCUAAUUUUUGUAUUUUUAGUGGAGAUGGGGUUUCACAAUGUUGGCCAGGCUGGUCUUGAACUCCUGGCCUCAAGUAAUCUGCCUGCCUUGGCCUCCCAAAGUGCUAGGCGUGAGCCACCAUGCCCAGCCCAAAGUGUGGUUUUUUAUUUUUUAUUUUUAUAACCAAUGGCCAAUGACCAAAGUGUGGUUUUUAGGUGGAUAUUUAUAUUAGAUUGUAUUUAAUGCUCGCAAAACUAAACAGCUAACCAGAGAAGUCCCUGAUGAGUGCUAAAUUCUACCUAGCAACUUGGUUACAGAAAGCUGGUAGUUAAAUGCAGCUCACUGUCCUAGAAAAUCCAAGCAAACUUUUACACAUGCAUCUGAAUCAAGGACUCCCAUAGCUGCUUGGAGAUUGUCAGUUAGGGGGUCUCAAAUUGCAAGUUAAUUCAUAAGCCAAAAUAUAUUCCCACAAAUGUUCUGUAAAAAUAUGGAUGUGGGAGCAUAAACUCAGCAAAGCAGCCACAGUGUUACAAAAUGAACAAGCAUCUAGGCCUCUAUCUCCUUUCUCCAAGCACCGUGUAUCCCUGAAACAUAAGAACUACUCUCUGGAACUGCUUAGUGGCUGGUGCGCUGAGUGGGUGUGCCCAAAAUGCACAUGGUCUUACUUCCUGAGGGAGUCAAAGUUUAACUUGCAGGAUCCCCCGUAUUUGUUUACAAAAGCGUUUCUCCUCAAGCCACCACUGCAGAAUAUCCUUGCUAGGCAUCAAAAACAUGGCCCCUUCCCUUCAUGUGCUCAUAAGAACUUCAGAGCAGAAACCACACAUCUAGAUGACCAUCACCAUCUUCUUCUUCUUCUUCUUCUUUUUUUUAAAUAGAGAAGGGGUCUUGGUAUGUUGACCAGGAUGGUCUCAACCUCCUGGGCUCAGGUGAUCCUCCCAACUCAUCCUCCCAAAGUGUUGGGAUUACUUGCAUAUCACCAUGUUCUUGACAGCUCUCCACCAGGUGAGCAUAUGAGGCUCAUAACCAGUUCUUAUUUAUUUAUUUAAUGAAGGCUGGGGAGAUUCUGAUUGGGGUAGUCUCUGACUGAACUAAAUUUUAACAUAUUCAUGUUAAAGAAAUGAUCUGGCUACCUACUUAAUAACACAAUUUCCCAUGAAAGAUAAAAAUCAAGAACUGAAGACUAUUUCCCAGAAAAGAAAUAGAAGUGAUUUGCUACCUUUAUUAUUUCUCUCUCUCUUUUUUUUUACACACACUUACACACAGAUUGGGACAUACACUCCAAACUGCCAAGGAAUCUCAGUUUGUGGUGCAAUUUUUGGAAGUCAAAAAUAUUGCAUAGUUUAAGUCACAACGUGGCUGGGCAUGGUGGCUCGUAAUCCUAGCACUUUUGGGAAGCCGAGGCAGGCGAAUGACUUGAGCUGAGGAGUUGGAGACCAGCCUGGGCAACAUACUGAAACUCUGUCUAUACAAACAAUACAAAAAUUAACUGGGUAUGGUGGCAUGCACCUGUUAUCCCAGCUAUCCAGGAGGCUGAGGUGACAGAAUGGCUUGAGCCAGGAGGUGGAGGCUGCAAUGAACCAAGUCUACACCACUGCACUCCCUCCUGGGCAUCAGAGCCAUAUCCUGUUUAAAAAAAAAAAAAAAAAAAAGACACAGUCUGCUUCAAAAUCACAAAGCGUGCCAUCUUGAGAGAUAUACCAGAUAAUUGGCAAUGGUGAUCUGGGAUAUAUGGGCUGCGAUUAUUAAAAAAACUUCCACUUUCCAUAUUACAUAUCUCCUAUAAUGUUGGAAAAUGUUCAGUGAGCCUGUAUUUCUCCUUUUGUAAGCAGAAAGUGUAACACAGAGAAGUUUUACAAACAAAAGUAACGUGCCACAUCUCUUAGCAGUGGACUGUAUACUACCAUCAUUCACUUCAUGCUAGACUUCUUGUGAUGGUUCUGCCUGUUAAUGAGAAUCCCUAAUUCACACUCUCCAAGCAGCUGUGAAGGUCACUGAGAAGAUUUCGAAGCUCCUUACCAGUCUCUGAAUGGGUAGAAAAUCAUACAUACAGGCCAGGCACUGUGGCUCACACCUGUAAUCCCAGCAUCUGGGAAGCCGAGGUGGGGAGACCACAAGGUCAGGAGUUUGAGACCAGCCUGGCCAACAUAGUGAAACCCCAUCUCUACUAAAAAUAUAAAAGUUAGCCGGGUAUUGUGGCAUGUGCCUGUAAUCCCAGCUACUCAGGAGGCUGAGACGGGAGAAUCACUUGAACCUGGGAGGUGGAGGUUGCAGUGAGCUGAGACUGCACCAUUGCACUCCAGUCUGGGUGACAAAGAGAGAUUCUGUCUAAAAAAAAAAAAAGAAUGCCUGCAGAUAUAAAUCUGGGACAAAGUAGAAGCCCUCAGUUUUCCUUUCUUUGUAACGUUUUCUCUCGGGCCUCUCAGGACUGUCUUCACCAUCAGAAUGAGCAAUUUCCCUGUCCGUGCCUAUCUUCUCACCCCCACGUGCCUUUUGUUUAUGGCUGAUUUCCCAGGCCUCUCUGCAAAUGGCUAAGGGACACAGAGGUUUAAUCUGGCAUUGGCUGUCAGCACUAACAAACCUCAUGCUUAGUGAAAGAUGUGAUUAGAACUGAACGGUUAGGUAGACCCCUAAAAAUGUGUGGAGGAAGAAUGUUGAAGAUGAGGUGGGGAACUUUUGUGCUUUUGGGCACGCAAACCAUUUAGCAUAGCACACAUUGGCAGGAUGUCAAGAACCUGUUUUCCAUGAUGCCCAAAAGAAUAAUAAACUGUAUUCAGGGAGGCCCUGGCAAGUGUGCAGCCAUGUAUUGGGUAACAUUAGGGAAUCAACAGAGGUAAAAUUCAUGACUCCUCAGCCGGGUGCGGUGGCUUAUGCCUGUAAGCCUCCCAGCUACUGGGGAGGCUGAGGCAGGAGAAUUGCUUGAACCCAGGAGGCAGAGAUUGCAGUAAGCCAAGAUCAUACCACUGCACUACAGCCUGUGCAACAGAACAAGACUCUAAAAAAAAAAAAAAAGAAAAAGAAAAAAAAUUCCUGACCCCUGCUCUUGAAGAGCCCAGCAUAUAUAGUCAGUAACUGAGAUCUCUGUUAUAAAGAGGCAAGGCAAUACUGUUCUCUCUCUUUCUGUCUCUCUCCCACUCUCUCUCUUUCAUGUGUGUGUGUGUGUGUGUAAGGUACCGAUUUCUUACUACACUGACUCAACAAGACCAGCUUAUCACCAGUCGGCUACACAGACAGUUCCCUGAAGACGUUCUUCAUGUCUUCACCAAGCCUUGUUCUGCUGCCCAAGCCUUCCCUUUCCUGUGGCCCUCUGGCUUUGGCACACUCCUCCUAGUCUCUAGCCACACUUGCUGUCUCUGUGGGGGACGCAUGAGCAGAAGGACUGCUUUCACACACCUCACUUACCCGAGUUGCUUCAAACUGCCCUCCACCUCCCUGGCUUGGUAGCUUUUCUUCCAUGCAUCACUUCAGUGUCAGCCACUCCUAAAUUAUUAGCCCUUGAGGGCUCCUGCUUUCUCUUCCAGCCAAGCACACUUUAGGGAGAAGGCCCUAAUUGUUCUCACAAAAUAUUCUGUUCAACCAGAAUGAACUCAGAAUGGAGUCCUGGGAACUCAGGCCAACAGCUAUUGCCAAUCAGGUUGCUGCCAGCCAACUCCAAGAACAGCCUAGAAGAGCCUGCUGGUUGCUCUGCCUCCUCCCACACUAUGUCAAAUGGUGUCCUGAUCACAACUAACAAUGUCUCCAUCCUCCUGAUGACACCAUUUCUUUUUUUUUGAGGCAGAGUUUCACUCCUGUUACCAAGGCUGGAGUGCAAUGGUGCAAUCUCGGCUCACCGCAACCUCUGCCUCCUGGGUUCAAGCAAUUCUCCCGCCCCAGCCUCCUGUGUAGCUGGGAUUACAGGCACGUGCCACCAUGACCAGCUAAUUUUUUGUAUUUUUAGUAGAGACAGGGUUUCACCAUGUUGACUAGGAUGGUCUCGAUCUCUUGACCUUGUGAUCCACCGACCUCGGCCUCCCAAAGUGCUGGGAUUACAGGCUUGAGCCACCGCGCCUGGCCGCCAUUUCAAAAGACUUAAACCAUCUCCUCCUUUCACCAGCAUGUGUGGGUUUAUGAGAUUCCUUGCCAAGCCACAAGGGCCACCUGCAAAAGAUAAUUCUCCUGGUCUGAGUAAAUUCCCAGAACCCCGAGGUUAGCCACAUAAUUACAAACUCCAGAGCAUUAAUAAAGACAAGGAAAAGUGAAGUGGCUCAUGCCUGUAAUCUCAGCACUUUGGGAGGCAGGCACGAAGAUUGUUUGAGCUCAGGAGUUCCAGACCAGCCUGGGCAACAUAGUGAAACCUCAUCUAUAUAAAAAACUACAAUAAUUAGCCAGGCAUGGUGGUGUACACCUGUAUCAUCUAGUCCCAGCUACUAAAGAGGUUAAGGUGGGAAGAUCACUUGAUCAGUUGCAGUGAACCAAGACUGGGCAACUACACUCUAGCCUGGGUGACAGAGCAAGACACUGUCUCAAAAAGAAAGAAAAAUGGAGUGGAGAAUGGGGGAGGAUAAAUUAUACAAAGAACAACAACAACAAAAAUACCUCAAAGUCUUCAUAAAAGCUAAAUAGCCAGGUAUGGGCCAGGCAUGGUGGCUCAUGCCUAUAAUUCCAGCACUUUGGGAGUCCAAGGCAGGUGAAUCACUUGAGGUCAGGAGUAUGAGACAAGGCUGGCCAAUGUGGUGAAACCCCAUCUCUAGUAAAAAUACAAAAACUAGCUGGGUGUCAUGGUGCACACCUGUAAUCCCAGCUACUCAGGAGGCUGUGGCAGGAGAAUUGCAUGAACCUAGGAGGUGGAGGUUGCAGUGAGCCAAGAUCGUGCCACUGCACUCCAGCAUGGGCGACAGAGCGAGACUCCAUCUCAAAAAAAACAGUAAUAAUAAAUAGCCAGGAAUGGUGCCAUGUGCUGGUUGUCCCAGCUACUCAGGAGGCUGAGGCAGGAGGAUCACUGGAGCCCAGGAGUUCAAGAGUGAUCACAGGAGAUCACAGUGCUGUCAUGCACUAUGGUCACGCCUGUACAUAGCCACUGCACUUCAGCCUGGGCAACACAGUGAGAACCUGUCUUUCUUGUUUUUUUUCUUUUCUUUUUUUUGGAGACAGGGUUUCACUCUGUCACCGAGGCUGGAGUGCAGUAAUAUGAUCUUGGCUCACUGCAACCUCUGCCUAUUAGGCUCAAGCGAUCCUCUUACCUCAGGUUGCCGAGCAACUGGGACUACAGGUGCACCAUCUGCUGAUUUUUGUAUUUUUCGUAGAGACGGUUUUGCCAUGUUGCCCAGGCUGGUCUAGAACUCCUGGGCUCAAGCAGUCCACCAGCCUUGGCCUUUCUAAGUGUUGGGUUUACAGGCAUGAGCCAUGGCUCCUGGACUGGAAUUAUAUUUUCAACAACAUAAAAUAGUUUUCAUUUCUUUCUUUUUUUUUUUUUUGGAGACAGAGUCACUCUGUCGCCCAGGCUGGAGUGCAUUCACAUGAUCUCAGCUCACUACAACCUCUACCUCGGGUUCAAGUGAUUCUUCUGCCUCAGCCUCCUGAGUAUCUGGGAGUACAGGCAUGCACCACAAUGCCCAGCUAAUUUUUUUGCAUUUUGAGUAGAGACAGGGUUCCACCAUGUUAGCCAGGCUGCUCUUGAACUCCUGGCCUCAAAUGAUCCACCUACCUUGGCCUCCCAAAAUGCUGGGAUUACAGGUAUGAGCCACUGCACCCGGCUAAUUUUCAUUUCUUUGCCUAUAUAAUAUGCCACACAGAAUGACACACACACACACACACACACACACACACACAUAUAAACUUUUAAGUCAAGUAUUAAAAAUGAUAUGCUGGUAAGGAAAAGAUGUGCCUAUCUAAUGAUUCAAGCUGAAAUGAAUUUCUGAAAACAAAGACAGUAUACUGCAUUGAUUACAAGCACGCCUAGAAUCACCCAGAUCUAUAUCUGAUGCCAAAACAGUAUUCAACUUGCAGGAAACGCUUCUAAAGAAAAUUCAAAGGAGCCAGGAGAGGCUGGCAGGGCCAACAGACUGCGAUGCAGGCCUCACCCUAAGUGAAGAAGAGAGGAAAAAAUGGAAGGGCGGGUAGAAGCAUGUUACAUUACAGUGUAUUCUAAGGCAAGUUCAGCAAGGCUGCGAGAGCACUUCAGUCAUCAGAGGAGUCCCAUAUCUCCAAAGUAUCAGCCUGCCUUAACACCCCUGCCACACUCUGUCACUGGCUGGAAUUAGCCCUUGGGUGUGUAGCCUCAGCUCACACACAGUGAUGGAGUUCAGAAGGCAGCAGGGGCCCUCAGUCAACUGCUCCCUGCAGUUGGAAGGAUGUCUGAGCAAUAUAUGUCAUGGUCACCACACUCAGUUUUCCUCUUUGGUAAGACAGGACAAAAUCCUUGCCCACUUGCCAUCUAGAGAAAUUGGGUGACUCAGAGAAGGCAAUGUCUGUAAACACUAUGUAAAUUCUAAGUGUGGAACAUGUGAAAUAUUCCUUACACAGGACUAUGCCCCAGCCGUGACGUGCAGCUCUUCACUCCCUCGCUCUGGCUGUGUCCUCUAACACACAUCUACUAGACCUGCAGUCUGCCUCUGACCCCUUCAUUCUUCUCUAGCUACCCAACCUAGAUACUUCCUGAGCUCAGCCGUGUCUGGAACACAGGAAUGGAAAAUACAGUCCUUUGGCUCAUAGCUAAAAAUGUCCUCAAAUAGAGGGAGCCAGCUGGCUGCACAUAGGCCAGUUCAGCCUCGUGAUGUACUGCUUCAGUGAAGCUAAACAUUGACCUCUUUGAUAACCAAGGACCAUGCCCAGCAAGUUCUGCAACUUAAUUAUUAAACUGCUUGGAAGAGAAGCAAACUAUUAGACUUUGAGAGCUCUACAUUUUUAUUUUUAUUUUAUUCAUUUAUUUAUUUAUUUUGAAAUGGAGUCUUGCUCUGUCACCCAGGCUGCAGUGCAAUGGCAUGAUCUUGGCUCACUGCAACCUCCACUUCCCAGGUUCAAGAAAUCCUCCUGCCUCAACCUCCUGAAUAGCUGGGAUUAUAGGCACCCACCAGCACAGCUGGCUAAUUUUUGUGUUUUUAGAAGAGAUGGAGUUUCACCAUGUUGUCCAAGCUGGUCUCAAACUAGUGACCUCAAGUGAUCUGCCCACCUUGGCCUCCAAAGUGCUGGAAUUACAGGUGUGAGCCUGGCCAUAAUUUUAUUUAUUUUUGAAUAGGUAAUACAUACACAUGAUCUGAUAUGCAAAACUUACAGAAGAGAAUAUAGUGAAAAGUCUCCCUUCCAUUCUGUCCUCUACUAGCAAAGUUCCCCCUCCUUGGAGCCAAUCAAUGCUUCCUUGUCUUACGUAUCGUUUCAGAAAUAUUUUAUGCAUAUUUCUGCCUCUGAAAUAAUUUCUAAAACUGCUAAAAGAAAGUCCCUUAGAGAGUAACUACUGUUGAGACUGGGCUAAUGUUAUUUAGAUUCAUCUAUUUUACUCCAUUUUAUCUCAUUUCAACCUUAUUUGGAAGCAUAUUUUUUUCAACAUUUCACUAUGAAAAUUUUUCAAACAUACAGGAAAAUUGAAAGAAUUUUCAGUGGAGCCAAGUGCAGUGGCUCACGCCUCUAAUCCCAACACUUUGAGAUGCCAAGGUGGGCAGAUCACUUGAGGUCAGGAGUUCGAGACGAGCCUGGUCAACACGGAGAAACUCUGUCUCUACCAAAACUACAAAAAGUAGCUAGAUAUGGUGGUAGGCACCUAUAAUUCCAGGUACUCAGGAGGGUAAGGUGGGAGAAGCGCUUGAACCCGGGAGGUGGAGGAUGCAGUGAGCUAAGGUCACGCCACUGCACUCUAGCCUGGGCGACAGGGCAAGACUCCGUCUCAAAAAUAAAUAAAUAAAUAAAUAAAAGAAUUGUUCAGUGAAUACCUACACUUCCAACACCUAGAUUCUGCAAUGACUGAUUUACUACAUUUGCUUUAGGUAUUUUUAUUAUUAUUCUCAUUUUACUGCUAAUGAAACUGUGUCAAAUGUAGGUGCUUUGCUGCAAAAGCUUCUUAAUCCUAUCUUGCUUAAUCUUUUUUUUUUUUUAAUUCCAGCAUUUCAGCCAAGGUCCAAAGAGAUUAGCAUCUCCAGAGAAGAAUUUAAAUCCAGUUUCUUGUGUCUGAAUAUGGUCUGUAGAUAAGCCCCAAAGAACACAAGUUCUCUUUUUCACUUGUAAUUUCUGUACCCUUUGGCCCUUAUCAUUCCACGUGGUGCUGUUCUCCCUGACAGAGUUUAACCUCCCUCAGCUGACCUCCUUCUUCUUGAAAGCAUAGUUUUUAGGCAUGUGAGAGAAGCAGACCAGGCAGCCCAGCUGACUCAGCUGUUUUUAUGUCAACAGCCUACGUGGACAACCACUUUGCUACUCACAGGGUGGUUCACAGACCAGCAGAAUUACAUCAUAUAUGUACAAUAUCAGGCCCACCCAGACCUACUGAAUGAGAAUCUGUCAUUCCACAAGAUUCCCAAGUGAUUCCUAUUGCACAUACCACACAUCAUUAUAGUCUCAUUUCAGCCAUGGUUAAAAGGAGCCCAAUGCUAUUUGCUGGUCAUAGGUGGGGGGAAAAAAAAGAGGAGUUCAUGACAUUCAGCUUGGCCGGGCUUGGUGUACACCUAUAAUCCUAACAUUUUGGGAGGCCAAGGUGGGAUGAUCACUUGAGGCCGGGAGUUUGAGUCCAGCCUGGGCAACAUAGCAAGACUGUCUCUACAGAGAAAAAUAAAGACAUUCGUCUUUUUUUUUUUUUUUUUUUGCUUUUUGAGACGGACUCUCACUCUGUUGCCUAGGCUGGAGUACAGUGGUGUGAUCUUGGCUCACUUGCAACCUGUGCUUCUUGGGUUCAAGUGAGUCUUCUGCCUCAACCUCCCGAGUAGCCGGGACUACAGGCGCACACCACCACACCCAGCUAAUUUUUGUAUUUUUAGUUAAGAUGAGGUUUCACUAUAUUUGCUAGGCUAGUCUCAAACUCCUGACCUCAUGAUGAUCCGCCUGCCUCGGCCUCCCAAAGUGCUGGGAUUACAGGCAUGAGCCACCGUGACUAGCCGAUAUUUAUCUUAAGAACUACCCUUUCCUUCUUUUUGUUUUUUUUUUAUAUCUUAUUUGCCUCUUUGCUCCCUUUCUUCACAACCUGUAACCCCAGUUAUUGAGCCCCUGCUCUGUAUGCUCUGUACGAGGAACAUUAUUCCUAACUCUCAGAGUAUUGCAAAAGAUACUUUAUUCCUAAUUUACAGAUAAGGCUCAGAGGAUUAGAAAUCCACCUAAUGAUAAACAGCUGUAAAUACUACGCAAGUUAUUUUCCAAGACCUGCUUCUCUCUUUCUACUGUAAAACAAUGCCUCUCCAAACCCUGGCAAUUGCCUCAGCCUAGACCUUGCCCACUUGGGCCAGACAGCUUAUGCCUGCCUGUCAUGCAAGGCUUUUAGACUUGUCUCUUUCUUAAGCCCUUUUCUCAUGUGUUGUUCACUGCUAGUUCACCUGGAUCUUACUCCUUUAGCUCCCAGUCAUCAAUCAGCUAUUCUUAUAAUCUAAGAACAUAGGUAACACCUGGGCAUUGUAAUGCUGGCCUUCUAUAGACAGUGGGAGGAGGUGGGAGUGAGAAGAUGACAGACAGGUGAAAAAAUAUAUGGGCAGGUAGGAUGCACUCUGCUAGGGCAUGCCUUCUUUCAAUCUAAAUGAAGAACUCAGAUAGCUGCUAUGGAUACGGUUUUAUGCUAGUGACUACGCUGGGUACACAGAUGUACAAAAUGUGAUUCCUGCCCUUAAUAAGGAGAAUUAAUCCAGCAGGGGAGCUAGGACAGGCACACAGCAAAGCCUGAUUAAAAAGUACAGCAGGAACAUAGAAAAGAGGCUGCUUCUGGGUGGGAAAAUAGAUGAUUACAAAGAGCGGGGGAUGGGAGGCAGAGAGCCUUCCAGGCAAGGGGAAAACAUGCAAAAAGAGAAGAAAAGCACCUUUCGGGAGUCUCCUGCAUAGAGCCCUGGGUGGCUGAUGGAGAAGGUAUUCAAGAGUGGCUGCACCUGGAGCUGGGAGCUGAGCAUCAUGAAGAUUAAAACAUAAAGUAAGCUGGGUGUGGUGGCUCAUAUCUGUAAUCCCAACAUUUUAGGAGGCCAAGGUGGGCAGAUCUCUUGAGGUCAGGAGUCUGAGACCAGCCUGACCAAUGUGGAGAAACCCCUUCUCUAUUAAAAAUACAAAAUUAGCUGGGUGUGGUGAUGCGUGCCUGUAAUCCCAGCUACUCGGGAGGCUAAAGCAAGAAAAUUGCUUGAACCUGGGAGGCAGAGGUUGCAGUGAGCGAGAUUGAGCCAUUGCACUCCAUCCUGGGCAACAAAAGUGAAACUACGUCUCAAAAAAAAAAAAAAAAAAAAGAAUAAAAAAACAUAAAGUGUGCUCAUAAAAUUGAGAGGAGUGGACCAGGCACAGUGGCUUACACCUGUAACCCCAGCAUUUUGGAAGGCCAAGGCAGGUGGAUCUCCUGACAUCAGAAGUUCGGGACCAGCCUGGCCAACAUAGUGAAACACCGUCUGUACUACAAAUACAAAAAAGUAGCUGGGAAUGGCAGUGGGCACCUGUAAUCCCAGAUACUCAGGAGGCUGAGGCAGGAGGAUCCUUUGAAGAGAGGCAGAGGUUGCAGUGAGCUGAGACUGCACCAUUGCACUCCAGCCUGGGCAACAAGAGCAAAACUUCGUCUCAAGAAAAAAACAAUUGAGAGGAGUUAGAAAGAAUCAUCUUGAAUCAAUUAACGACAUGUUGGGGGGCAGUGUGGUGUAGCAGUUUAGUGGCUUUAAACACAGGUUUGGUUUAUAUACCAGCUUUCACCUUUGCAAAAUGCCGUAUGUACAAGGUAAUUCACAGCGGCAUUGUUUACAAUAAAAAAUGACUGGAAAUAUACUAAAUGUUCAUCACUAGGGAACUAAUUAAAUAAAUUAUGGGCAUAACCAUGUGGAAAAUUGUCCAAAUGGAAAAGCAAGAUAUAGAGCAGGGUAUAAAUUAUGUUACCCUUUGUAACAAAAUAAAAAGGGUAAUUUUUUUUUUUUUUUUUUUUUUUUUGAGACAGAGUCUUGCUCAGUUGCCCGGGGUGGAUUGCAGUGGCAUGAUCACAGCUCAAUGCAAUCUCUGCUUCCUGGGCUCAAGCAGUCCUCCCCCAUCAGCCUCCCAAGUGUUCAAGGAAAUGCAAACUAAAAACUGAAUGACAUACUACUACUAACCCACUGGGAUGGCACAAAUUUUUUAAAUAGUGAGGAGGUGGAGCACCAAAACCUCAUACACUUAUUGGUUAUAAGUAAAACUUAAAAGGUUUUUUUUGUUUUUGAGACGAAGUCUCGCUCUUAUUGCCCAGGCUGUAGUGCAAUGGCACAAUCUCGGCUCACCACAACCUCCACCUCCUGGGUUCAAGCAAGUCUCCUACCUCAGCCUCCCGAGUAGCUGGGAUUACAGGUGCGUGCCACCAUGCCUGGCUAAUUUUUUGUAUUUUUGCCCAGCUAAUUUUUUGUAUUUUUAGUAGAGACAGGGUUUCACCGUGUUUGCCAGAAUGGUCUCCAUCUCCUGACCUUGUGAUCUGCCUGCUUCAGCCUCCCAAAGUGCUGGAUUACAGGCAUGAGCUACCGCGCCCAUCCUAACUUUAAAGUAUUUUAAGGAGUCUGGGUGCGGUGGCCUCUCACCUAUACUCCUGACUCACAAGGCCAGGAGUUCAAGACCAGCCUGACCAAUAUGGUGAAACCCUGUCUCUACUAAAAAUAUGAAAAUUAGCUGGGCAUGUUGGCAUGCACCAGUAGUCCCAGCUACUCAGGAGGCUGAGGCAGGAGAAUUGCUUGAACCUGUGAGGGGAAGGUUGCAGUGAGCCAAUGAGCCAAGAUUGUACCACUGCAUUCCAGCCUGGGUGACAGAGCAAAACUCCAUCUCAAAAAAAAAUUUUUUUAAGGAAAACUAUUUGUGACUUUCCUCACAUCAAUCAACAUACACUAUAGGCAAGCAAAGAAAAAAAGAAUGGGGGCUGUUAGGGGUGGGAAUCACAGGAAAAAUGGAAAAAGUUUUCCGAGGACAGAGUGGUGAAAUAAAGAGAAAAAUCAUGGGAGGAAAGUAAAUAAUAGAGACGAGUAAAAAAGUAGAAGACAGAGGCAAAUUGUGAGCUACAGAAGGAAAAGAGGCAGUUAGGAGGAGAAUAGACAUGUGAAGCCAAAGUGUAAAAAUGAGAUGAUAUAUAAAGUGCCUAAACUAGCACCUGGAAUAUAGGAUUACAUAAUAUUCAAAUACAGUUAUUAACUAUAAAUCAGGGGGAAAAGUAAAAGAAAUGCCAGGUAUUCAAUAACUGCUUUUUUUGAGACGGAGUCUCACUCUGUCACCCAUGCUGGAGUGCAGUAGCUUAAUCUCGGCUCACUGCAACUUUCUGUGUUCAAGUUACUCUCCUGCCUCAACCUCCCAAAGUAGCUGGGAUUACAGGUGUGGGCCACCAUGACCAGCUAAUAUUUGUAUUUUUACUAAAGACUGGGUUUCACCAUGUUGGCCAUCUGGUCUUGAACUCCUGAUCUUAAAUGAUCCACCCACCUCGGCCUCCCAAAGUGCUGAGAUUACAGGCGUGAGCCACCACAUCCAGCUGAUAAUUGCUUAUGAAAUAAAUGUUCAGAUGUGAUGCAUAAAGUACAUUGGUUAUAUCAGUGUUCUGUGCUAAAUUAGCAGUGUAUAUUGCUAAUGUUAGCUCCCCCCACCACAUAGUUCUAUUUUUAUCUUAAUUUGAGGCUGUUAUUGUUUUAGAUCUAUUGUUAAGGCAGCAAGGAAUAUUCAGGAUGUAAUUUGGUUUCUCAUUUCCUGGCAACAAUCAUGUGAGAGGCAAAUGAGAGCCUUUUGCUGAAAGGCUUUUUAAAUCUGUAGUAAUGAGAACAAAUAUUAAGUAAUGUGCUUGUGGAUAAAUAGAAGUUGCAACGCUGUAAUUCAGUCUUCAUCUGAGGAAACCAAAGUUCAUUAUAAAACCAUAAUUACACUCGAAAUUCUUUACUGAGGCAAGGCUGGCUGAUGCCUGUAAUCUUAGCACUUUGAGAAGCUGAGGCAGGAGGAUCCUUUGAGCCCAGGAGUUCAAGACCAGCCUGGGCAACAUAGGGAGACCCUGUCUCUAUCUUGAAAAAAAAAAAAAAAGAUUCUGUACUGAAAUGUGGUGCAAGGUUGGAACACUAACUGCAUGGGAAAGUUGCAGGCAAUGCCUGAGUUUCCCUGUGCAGGUUAUGAAAUACGCAACCAAUUAAAAAUUACUGUAAAGCACUCCUCAAGCAUAAAUAUCAGCAUUCUGAAAAAUGAAGGGGACUGAAGGUGGCGAGUGCCAGGAUAUUUUUCUUCUCUGAGGGGAAAAAGAGAUACGGCAAAAGAUGCCAAUUUAACAAUAAGAGGCCUAGUGUGGUUCGUGCAGGACUGUCCACAGGUGUUUGGCAGUAUAAGUGGGCAUUUCAUCACCCACCUGCCAGUUGUCGUACCUAGCAUCACCCCUCCAGGUCAACAUUUGCCUUCCCCGACUCAAGUCUGCCAAAAACACAUUCAUGCUACUAUUGUUAUUCCUUCUCAGGUCAAAUCUUAUCAGUUUAUUUGCCUGGGACCUGGGGCCUGGGUAGUAAGGUGGGAUGACCUUACUCCUUGACCCAGGAGGUCAAGGCUGAAGUGAGCCAUGAUAGUGCCACUGCACUCCAGCCUAGGUGACAGAGUGAGACUGUGUCUCAAAAAAUAAAAAUAAAAAUGGACAGAUACUUCUAAAUAGUCAAAUUGCCAUCUUCUUUUUUUUUUUUUUUGGAGACGGAGUCUCACUGUGUUGCCAGGUUGGAGUGCAGUAGUGCGAUCUCAGCUCACUACAACCUCCAGCUCCUCGAUUGAAGCAAUUUUCUGCCUCAGCAUCCCCAGUAGCUGGGACUACAGGUGCGCGCCAUCACACCCUGCUAAUUUUUGUAUUUUUAGUAGAGAUGGGAUUUCACCAUGUUGGCCAGGAUGGUCUCAAUCUCUCUCUCUCUUUUUUUUUUUUUUUUUGUCAAAUCACCUGAGGCAGGCGGACUGAGUCCAAAAAUGGAGUCAGCCUGGUCUCGAUAUCUUGACCUUAUUAACCGCCCGCCUUAGCCUCCCAAAGUGCUGGGAUUAGAGGUGUGAGCCACCAUGCCCAGCCCUAAAUUGUCUUCUAUUAAUGGUAAUCAUAAACCAGUGUACACUCCCACUAAAAAUAUAUGAGAAUGCCUAUUAUCCUAAACCAAAUAUCAGAACCGUUGAUGUUUACCAUCUAAGCUAAAAUAGCAUAUUUUUGUAGUUUAGUGUGCAUUUCUUAUAUUAUGAAGGAGACUGGGAAUCUUUUCCAGAAUUUGGGGAGGUAGGUGUAUAAAUGAAUACAAUACAAAAAUACUGUGACAAAGAUUUUUCUAUGGUGCUCUUGGUUAGGAAGGUCAAAGAAAGUCCCGCAGAGGAAGUGGCAUUUGAUCUAGGUCCUGCAGGACGAGUUGGAAUUCCGACAUAGAGCUUAUUGAUCCUGGUAUGUAGUCAGCUAAAUGUUCAACAGCUAUACAUUGGCUUAUGUGAUGAAAUUAGCCAGGUGCAGCGUCCCACGCCUGUAAUAACAGCACUGUGGGAAGCUGAGGUGGGAGGACCACUUGACUGCAGGAGUUCAAGACCAGGCUAGGUAACACAGGGAGACCUCAUCUCUCCAAAAGAUACAAAAAUUAGCUGGGUGUGAGGCAGAGCCUUCGGUGAGCCAAGAUCACGCCAUUGCACUUCAGCUUGGGCAACAAGAGUGAAACUCUGUCCCCCCCCAAAAAAAAUUAGCUAGGCAUGGUGGUGAGCACAUGUAAGUCCCAACUACUCUGGAGGUUGAGGCAAGAGGAUGACUUGAGCCCAGGAACUUGAGGCAGCAGUGAGCUGUGACUGUGUUGAUGCACUCCAACAUGGGGGACAGAGACUCUGUCUCAAAAAAAUAAAAAGAAAUGAUAAAAUUGAGAUGUUUGGGUUGAGGCGGGAGGAUUGCUUGAGUCCAAGAGUUCAAGGUUGCAGUGAGCUAUGCUAGCACCACUUCAUUCUAACCUGGGCUACACAGCAAGACCCUGUCUCUUUAAAUAAAUAAUACAUAAAUAAGAUGUAUAGUCAACAAGUUUUCUGGAUGGUUAAGGAGAUUUUUGGCUAUAUAUGGCAAGACACUGACACACAAAUACCAGUACAUAAUUAAACAAACCACUGGUGCGACUGGGUCACCCCUGGGGUACUAGGGCAGGAGCUUUAUAGUGUACAUCUGGUUUCUUCCACUUUCUGGAUGUUGAGCGACAUCUAAUGGCCAAAUAGGAAAAAGUCUAUAUUUUCAAUUUUCACUUUCUUCUCUCUUUUCUCAAGGUCUCACUCUGACACCCGGACUAGAGUGCAGUGGGACAGUCACAGCUCGCUGCAGCCUUGACCUCCUGGGUUCAAAUGAUUGCCCCACCUCAGCCUCCCGAGUAGAUGGGACUAUUGGAAUGUGCUACUAUGCCCAGCUAAUUUUUCUGUUUUUUGGCUGCCCAGGCUGGUUCAGUAUUUUAUUUUAUUUUACUUUAUUUUCUUAUUUUUUUUUUUGAGAUGGAGUCUCAUUCUGUCCCCAAGGCUGGAGUGCAGCACUACGAUCUCAGUUUACAGCCACCUCCGCCUCCGGGAUUCCAGCAAUUCUUCAGUCUCAGCCUCCUGAGUAGCUAGGUGCAGUGUCCCAUGCCUGUAAUAACAACACUGUGGGAAGCUGAGGUGGGAGGACCACUUGACUGCAGGAGUUCAAGACCAGGCUAGGUAACACAGGGAGACCUCAUCUCUCCAAAAGAUACAAAAAUUAGCCGGGUGUGAGGCGGAGCAUUCGGUGAGCCAAUGCACCACCAUGCCUGGCUAAUUUUUGUAUUUCUAGUAGAGACCGGGUUUCACCAUGUUGGCCUGGCUGGUCUCGAACUCCUGACCUCAUGAGCCGCUGUGCCCAGCCCAGUAUUUUCGUUUCUUUUCUUUUUUUAACCAGGUUUCUUCCCAAAUUCCUUUUUUACUUUUUUUCUUUUUUCUUUUUCUUUUUUUUCUUUUUUUUUUUUUUUGAGACGGAGUCUCGGUCUGUCGCCAGGCAGGAGUACAGUGGCACGAUCUCGGCUCACUGCAACCUCCGCCUCCUGGGUUCAAGUGAUUCUCCUGCCUCAGCCUCCUGAGUAGCUGGGACUACAGGUGCCUGCCACCACGCCCAGCUAAUUUUUAUAUUUUUAGUAGAGACGAGGUUUCACCAUGUUGGCCAGGAUGGGCUCGAUCUCUUGACCUUGUGAUCUGCCCGCCUCGGCCUCCCAAAGUGCUGGGAUUACAGGAGUGAACCACCGCGCCCAGCCCCAGUAUUUUUUUUUCAAAGAAAAUUCUCUUGUAGGAACAUAUACACAACCUUAAAAAAAUUUACCUCCAGAUUUAAGGAAAACUUGAGUCUUAUUUGUCCAUAAACCUAUAAGAAAACUGAAUAAAACGGAGGUAAGUUAAUUUUUUUUUUUUUUUUUUUUGAGACAGUUUCCCUCUUGUUGUCCAGCCUGGAGUGCAAUGGCAUCAUCUCGGCUCACUGCAACCUCUGCCUCCCUGGUUCAGGUUAUUGUCCUGCCUCAACCUCCUGAGUAGCUGAGAUUACAGGUGUGCACCACCACAUCCGGCUAAUUUUUGCAUUUUUAGAGAUGGGGUUUCACCAUGUUGGUCAGGCUGGUCUCAACCUCCUGACCUUAGGUGAUCCACCUUCCCUGUCCUUGCAAAGUGCUGCGAUUAUAGGUGUGAGCCACCGCCCUGGCCAGGGGUAAGUUAAUUUGUGUGGUAAUUUUCUUUUUUCUGAGACGGAGUUUCGCUCCUGUUACCCAGACUGGAGUGCAAUGGCGCGAUCUCGGCUCACCGCAACCUCCGCCUCCCAAGUUCAGGCAAUUCUCCUGCCUCAGCCUCCUGAAUAGCUGGGAUUACAGGCACGCACCACCGUGCCCAGCUAAUUUUUUGUAUUUUUAGUAGAGACGGGGUUUCACCAUGUUGACCAGGAUGGUGUCGAUCUCUUGACCUCGUGAUCCACCCACCUUGGCCUCCCAAAGUGCUGGAAUUACAGAUGUGAGCCACCGCGCCUGGCCCUAUGUGGUAAUUUUCAUUGAAUGAAAUAGAAAAAGAAGGAUGUUAGAAUUGGAAGAGACCUUAUAGCCAAUCUCUUCAUUUUGUCGACAAGGAAAUUUACGUCCAGAGAGAAAUGAUUUGUCCAAAGCCACACUGCUAGUGAGCUAUUAAUGCUCUAAUAUAGUUAUGAUUUUGCUACAAUGAAGAGAGGAAUAGUGGAUAUUUACCCAUCCAUUUGCAAAGAAAAAAAAAGACAAAUACUUUCUGAUUACUUUAAAACCUUUUAAUUUAUAAUAUUGGUCAUGCAUAGAAUUUAAUAUGUAUAAUGCUCAAUACUAUAGUAGUUACCGGCCAUUAGGUUCUUGGCCUAGGGUAUUUGAUUUUUCAGACCAACAGUGGACAAAAACAGACAAAUUCCUAUGAUUGCCAGACUAUAUUUCAAAAGACCCAAGUAAAAUUUUGAUGUCUGUAAUCUGAGAGUUGCUUCUCUAAUAUUUCUCUUUGCCUCUUAUCUGACAGUAGGCAAAGUUGAGGUAGGAGAUGAGUAUCAAUCCACAUCAUUUAAUCAACCAAUACCUAAAAUGUAUCGAUCCCCUUUCAUAUGUUCAGCAUCAUAGGGAUUGUGGGGACACAGCGCUAUACAUAAUGGAGGACAAGUAAUGAUGAACUCACUUCUCCAACCUGUUGAGAGGAGUUAAAUCAAAAGCAGCUUUGAGGUAGAAGGGAAAUUACAACAGUACUAUAACCACUCUUGGAGAUCUAUUUAUUAAUUCAUUGAUAAGUAUUUGUUGAGUAUCUACUAUAUAUACCAGUGCUAUGGAUACAGCAGAGAUCCACACCCAAACUCUUGAUGAAGCUUAUAACUUGAUAACUAUAUACCAACAAUUGUGAUAAGUGCUACCAAAAAAAAGUACUGGCUGGGUGAAGUGGCUCAUGCCUGUAAUUCCAGCACUUUGGGCAGCUGAGGCGGGCGGAUCACCUGAGGUCAGGAGUUUGAGACCAGCCUGGCCAACAUGGUGAAACCCCAUCUCUACUAGAAAUACAAAAAUUAGCCAGGUGUUGUGGUGCAUGCCUGUAAUUCCAGCUACCUGAGAUGCUGAGGCAGGAGAAUCGCUUGAACCUGGGGAGUGGAGGUUACAGUAAGCUGAGAUUGCACCACUUCACUCUAGUCUCGGCAGAAAGAGCGAAACUCCAUCUCAAAAAAAAAAAAAAAAGUACUGGUGCCGUAAUUAUAAAAUAGCGGGUUUUUUUUAGUGUUUGCUAUGUACCAUGCACUAUUCUUAGCACUCGACACAGAUCUGUUAAUACCACAAUCCUAUAACAAAGUUUCUUAUCUCAUUUUUUUUUUGGUGCCUAAUCAAGGUUGCUACCAUCACCUUAUCUUGUUUUAUAGAUAAGAAAAUUGAGAAACAAGGUUUUUUAGUUUUUGAGAUGCAAUCUCACUCUGUCACCCAGGCUGGAGUCCAGUGGUGCAAUCUCAGCUCACUGCAACCUCCACCUCCAGGGUUCAAGCAAUUCUCCUGCCUCAGCCUCCUGAGCAGCUGAGACUACAGGUGCACGCCAACAUGCUGGCUAAUUUUUGUAUUUUUGGUAGAGACAGGGUUUCGCCAUAUUGCCCAGUCUGGUCUCAAACUCCUGACCUCAUGAUCCACCCCCCUCAGCUUCCCCAAGUGCUGGGAUUACCGUGAGCCACCACCACACCCAGCUGAGUGUUUUGUUUGUUUUUUAACUUGCUCAAGUUUACACAAAUUGGUAAAUGGCUAUGUGGCCUUGAGAAAAAGAGUAUAUCAGGAGGGUAUA